Long non-coding RNA from Papaver somniferum (opium poppy), 2027 nucleotides. RefSeq lists it as uncharacterized. The transcript is spliced from 6 exons. NCBI's taxonomy places the organism in Eukaryota, Viridiplantae, Streptophyta, Magnoliopsida, Ranunculales, Papaveraceae. The record is from RefSeq and is a predicted model, not a curated record.
UCUACAAUCCUCUUGUCAGUACUUUCUCGAGCAUUGGUCGUUCCCCCCAAACCUGUAAGGUGAGAUACUAAAACCCUAAUGGGUUCACUAAACCAGACAUCUCCUAGCUCACAAAACUUGAUCAUCUCAGUCGAUCUGUUAAACCCUAGUGAAUCAAUCAACUUUCUUGUUUACGGUGUCUAUGCCUCUCUUCUUUUAGGUGAAUUGCGGUGGAAAUUGGCAGCUUAACUUAGAACCACAUUGGAUCAUUCUCGCGGGUCAUCCUCCACUUUUUUGCUAGUCUUCUUAACAACCUUCUUCAAUGCCUAACACUUCGGCUUUCUUCAAUGCCCAACAAGGAUGGAGAAUUGAAGAAAGCCAAAAUGCCCAAGAAGUUUUGAAGAAGUCAAGCAAAAAAGUGGAGGAAGUGUGCAAAGUAGCGUGGCGACCAUGGUUUUUAAAAGCGUACGCUUCACGCUUCGGAGCGUACGCUUCGCUUCAAAUUUCAUCAUUUCGUUUCAAAGCGGUCAUGUGAAGCGCAUCUUUCAUGAAGCGUAUGCUUCACGCUUACACUUCGCUUCAAAUUUCAGCAUUUCGCUGCGAAGCAGUCAUGUGAAGCUCAUGUUUUAAGGGGAAUUGAACACCCCGCCUCCCACUCGUCUGGAGUAGGUUGAACUGGUGUACACACGCUUUGUUUUUGAUAAAAAUUAGACUUAUAUAAAAUUUAUAUAGAUAUUAUCUUCCUAAUAAAUUUAUAAUUACUAGUUAUGACUAAUUUAUUUAUAAGAAAGGAUCCACUUCGAACAUAAACCAUGAAGCAACGCUUCACGCUUCGACAUACGCAUCGCUUCCUAAAAAUGAGAAACGCUUCACGCUUUCAAUACCUUGGUGGCGACCAAGUGUGAUAUAGAAGCUCCUGAGCUGUUGCAGUGUUAGAUGUUAGUUGUAUGUAUGCUUUUUUAUUCUCUCCCAAAAGAAAAUUAUGUGUCCACCAGCCACUCGCCUCAUACAUGUUGACAAGAAGAAGAAUACAGAGUGUAGUUAGUUAGUGUUUAGCAACUAUGAUUAGUACAUGUGUACAGAGGCAUUCGUAAUAUCACAUUCACCUGCAGCAGAAUGGUAAAAUUCUUUAUGUAAAGUUCCAAGUACCGACCAAUAAAGACACAAAUUUACGCUCUUCCAGUCAGUAAUUUGCCGAAUCCCGAGCAUUGGCAUUUCCCUCCAAACCGCAAGGUUUUGAGAAAUGAAGGUGCCCCUCAAUCAAGUAUUGUCAUAUUCUAAGUUAACCAACCAUGGUUGCUUUCUAUCAGCACUGAUAAAUUCACGGAGAGAUAGUAGAAGAUAUUAAGGGUCUUUUUGGCUUUCGGCAACUGUCAUGGACCGCGAAAAGUAACACGCUGCAGGAGAAGGGUUGUACAUUUUUGGCUGAUUCCAAAAUCGAUCCUACAACCCAACACAAUGAGUAAGAUUGCCGCCAACAGAUAAAUUCUUCAUUUUGCGGAUAUCCAAAUACAACGGUGAGUUGGCCAUGAAGUUGUCACACGAGAUAUUCCUGCCUUCUUUAGAAACCCCAUUAAGGUAAUUUGGUACAUGAAGCUAUCUAUCGAGGUUGCAAAGAGCAGUUCCACAUGUUCUGGACCUUCUCAGAUGAUUCGCUUUGGUGCACAUUUAGUGCUUGUUCUUCUUAGAUAUGUCUUGGCUGGUGAAAUGAGAGAUACUUGCAGACAGAAGCUUAAGAGUGUUGGUGACAUCAUUCUCCAGAUGUGAGUAUUCAUGGGUCGACAGUUUGGGUAGCCCUUCAUUCAUGGGUAGAUGGCAGAUGGUUCAGGGAUUGGAUUAUUAGCAUUGGUCUUCAAGUAUCGGUUGUGUGUCCUUAGUAUGCUACAAAGACAAUGGCUACAGGACCAAAAAGUCUGAAAUUCAAAAACAUUUUUGAUUGUGGACAUACAUAUAAGCAGCUAGAAUGAGUAACGGCUUCUGUAAUGUAGUAGUCACAACACUAUUUUUCGAUAUAUAAGAAUAAAUAAGAAGCCUUCAGUUAUGCUUCA